RNAcentral lists this ribosomal RNA (475 nucleotides) under uncultured soil bacterium. RNAcentral describes it as "bacterial SSU rRNA". It matches the Rfam family "Bacterial small subunit ribosomal RNA", at positions 26 to 518 of the family's 1533-position model. The record is from RNAcentral.
AGGACGAACGCUGGCGGCGUGCUUAACACAUGCAAGUCGAGCGGUAAGGCCUUUCGGGGUACACGAGCGGCGAACGGGUGAGUAACACGUGGGUGAUCUGCCCUGCACUUCGGGAUAAGCCUGGGAAACUGGGUCUAAUACCGGAUAUGACCUCCUAUCGCAUGGUGGGUGGUGGAAAGAUUUUAUCGGUGCAGGAUGGGCCCGCGGCCUAUCAGCUUGUUGGUGGGGUAAUGGCCUACCAAGGCGACGACGGGUAGCCGACCUGAGAGGGUGACCGGCCACACUGGGACUGAGACACGGCCCAGACUCCUACGGGAGGCAGCAGUGGGGAAUAUUGCACAAUGGGCGAAAGCCUGAUGCAGCGACGCCGCGUGAGGAUGACGGCCUUGGGUUGUAAACCGUCUUUCAGCAGGACGAAGCGCAAGACGACGGUACCUGCAGAAGAAGCGACCGGCUAACUACGUGCCAGCAGCGC